UAACAUGUCACAGCGUCUUUUUGAUUGUUUGUAUGAUAUAUAUUGUCCCUAAAAGUUGCAGUGUAGCAACCACUGGGCAUUGCUUCUCGGACUAAGUCACUUAUAGACUCAUCGUUUAAAUUGAUCAUUCGUAUACCUUUGUCUAACCCUGAAUAAAUCAAUUGAUUACCUUUCAGUGACAUGCCAUCAAUGUUCGAAUCCAGU
This 204-nucleotide long non-coding RNA is filed under the name Mytilus galloprovincialis (Mediterranean mussel). The record is from RNAcentral. Lineage: Eukaryota; Metazoa; Mollusca; Bivalvia; Mytilida; Mytilidae.